This 468-nucleotide ribosomal RNA is filed under the name uncultured bacterium. RNAcentral describes it as "partial 16S ribosomal RNA". It matches the Rfam family "Bacterial small subunit ribosomal RNA", at positions 28 to 507 of the family's 1533-position model. The record is from RNAcentral.
GACGAACGCUGGCGGCGUGCUUAACACAUGCAAGUCGAACGGAAAGGCCCUGCUUUUGUGGGGUGCUCGGGUGGCGAACGGGUGAGUAACACGUGAGUAACCUGCCCUUGACUUUGGGAUAACUUCAGGAAACUGGGGCUAAUACCGGAUAGGAGCUCCUGCUGCAUGGUGGGGGUUGGAAAGUUUCGGCGGUUGGGGAUGGACUCGCGGCUUAUCAGCUUGUUGGUGGGGUAGUGGCUUACCAAGGCUUUGACGGGUAGCCGGCCUGAGAGGGUGACCGGCCACAUUGGGACUGAGAUACGGCCCAGACUCCUACGGGAGGCAGCAGGGGGGAAUAUUGCACAGUGGGCGGAAGCCUGAUGCAGCAACGCCGCGUGCGGGAUGACGGCCUUCGGGUUGUAAACCGCUUUCGCCUGUGACGAAGCGUGAGUGACGGUAAUGGGUAAAGAAGCACCGGCUAACUACGUG